RNAcentral lists this small nucleolar RNA (101 nucleotides) under Nelumbo nucifera (sacred lotus). RNAcentral describes it as "Small nucleolar RNA Z103". It matches the Rfam family "Small nucleolar RNA Z103". From Rfam's summary of the family: This family consists of several snoRNA Z103 sequences which are members of the C/D class of snoRNA which contain the C (UGAUGA) and D (CUGA) box motifs. This family seems to be found exclusively in plants. C/D box small nucleolar RNAs are known to act as a methylation guides for 18S ribosomal RNA. Lineage: Eukaryota; Viridiplantae; Streptophyta; Magnoliopsida; Proteales; Nelumbonaceae. The record is from Rfam by way of RNAcentral.
UUGGAAGUGAUGAUCCUUUCCCCAGAUGAUCGACUCUGAUUAUACUGAGCUUUUGAUUAUUCUUCUCUUUGGAGAAGAUCCAAGCCAGAAACCUGAUCCAU